CGGGACACGUGGUAUCCUGUCUGAAUAUGGGGGGACCAUCCUCCAAGGCUAAAUACUCCUGACUGACCGAUAGUGAACCAGUACCGUGAGGGAAAGGCGAAAAGAACCCCGGCGAGGGGAGUGAAAAAGAACCUGAAACCGUGUACGUACAAGCAGUGGGAGCACGCUUAGGCGUGUGACUGCGUACCUUUUGUAUAAUGGGUCAGCGACUUAUAUUCUGUAGCAAGGUUAACCGAAUAGGGGAGCCGAAGGGAAACCGAGUCUUAACUGGGCGUUAAGUUGCAGGGUAUAGACCCGAAACCCGGUGAUCUAGCCAUGGGCAGGUUGAAGGUUGGGUAACACUAACUGGAGGACCGAACCGACUAAUGUUGAAAAAUUAGCGGAUGACUUGUGGCUGGGGGUGAAAGGCCAAUCAAACCGGGAGAUAGCUGGUUCUCCCCGAAAGCUAUUUAGGUAGCGCCUCGUGAAUUCAUCUCCGGGGGUAGAGCACUGUUUCGGCAAGGGGGUCAUCCCGACUUACCAACCCGAUGCAAACUGCGAAUACCGGAGAAUGUUAUCACGGGAGACACACGGCGGGUGCUAACGUCCGUCGUGAAGAGGGAAACAACCCAGACCGCCAGCUAAGGUCCCAAAGUCAUGGUUAAGUGGGAAACGAUGUGGGAAGGCCCAGACAGCCAGGAUGUUGGCUUAGAAGCAGCCAUCAUUUAAAGAAAGCGUAAUAGCUCACUGGUCGAGUCGGCCUGCGCGGAAGAUGUAACGGGGCUAAACCAUGCACCGAAGCUGCGGCAGCGACGCUGAUGCGUUGUUGGGUAGGGGAGCGUUCUGUAAGCCUGUGAAGGUGUGCUGUGAGGCAUGCUGGAGGUAUCAGAAGUGCGAAUGCUGACAUAAGUAACGAUAAAGCGGGUGAAAAGCCCGCUCGCCGGAAGACCAAGGGUUCCUGUCCAACGUUAAUCGGGGCAGGGUGAGUCGACCCCUAAGGCGAGGCCGAAAGGCGUAGUCGAUGGGAAACAGGUUAAUAUUCCUGUACUUGGUGUUACUGCGAAGGGGGGACGGAGAAGGCUAUGUUGGCCGGGCGACGGUUGUCCCGGUUUAAGCGUGUAGGCUGGUUUUCCAGGCAAAUCCGGAAAAUCAAGGCUGAGGCGUGAUGACGAGGCACUACGGUGCUGAAGCAACAAAUGCCCUGCUUCCAGGAAAAGCCUCUAAGCAUCAGGUAACAUCAAAUCGUACCCCAAACCGACACAGGUGGUCAGGUAGAGAAUACCAAGGCGCUUGAGAGAACUCGGGUGAAGGAACUAGGCAAAAUGGUGCCGUAACUUCGGGAGAAGGCACGCUGAUAUGUAGGUGAAGCGACUUGCUCGUGGAGCUGAAAUCAGUCGAAGAUACCAGCUGGCUGCAACUGUUUAUUAAAAACACAGCACUGUGCAAACACGAAAGUGGACGUAUACGGUGUGACGCCUGCCCGGUGCCGGAAGGUUAAUUGAUGGGGUCAGCGCAAGCGAAGCUCUUGAUCGAAGCCCCGGUAAACGGCGGCCGUAACUAUAACGGUCCUAAGGUAGCGAAAUUCCUUGUCGGGUAAGUUCCGACCUGCACGAAUGGCGUAAUGAUGGCCAGGCUGUCUCCACCCGAGACUCAGUGAAAUUGAACUCGCUGUGAAGAUGCAGUGUACCCGCGGCAAGACGGAAAGACCCCGUGAACCUUUACUAUAGCUUGACACUGAACAUUGAGCCUUGAUGUGUAGGAUAGGUGGGAGGCUUUGAAGUGUGGACGCCAGUCUGCAUGGAGCCGGCCUUGAAAUACCACCCUUUAAUGUUUGAUGUUCUAACGUUGACCCGUGAUCCGGGUUGCGGACAGUGUCUGGUGGGUAGUUUGACUGGGGCGGUCUCCUCCUAAAGAGUAACGGAGGAGCACGAAGGUUGGCUAAUCCUGGUCGGACAUCAGGAGGUUAGUGCAAUGGCAUAAGCCAGCUUGACUGCGAGCGUGACGGCGCGAGCAGGUGCGAAAGCAGGUCAUAGUGAUCCGGUGGUUCUGAAUGGAAGGGCCAUCGCUCAACGGAUAAAAGGUACUCCGGGGAUAACAGGCUGAUACCGCCCAAGAGUUCAUAUCGACGGCGGUGUUUGGCACCUCGAUGUCGGCUCAUCACAUCCUGGGGCUGAAGUAGGUCCCAAGGGUAUGGCUGUUCGCCAUUUAAAGUGGUACGCGAGCUGGGUUUAGAACGUCGUGAGACAGUUCGGUCCCUAUCUGCCGUGGGCGCUGGAGAACUGAGGGGGGCUGCUCCUAGUACG
RNAcentral lists this ribosomal RNA (2282 nucleotides) under Escherichia coli. RNAcentral describes it as "partial 23S ribosomal RNA". It matches the Rfam family "Bacterial large subunit ribosomal RNA", at positions 418 to 2685 of the family's 2925-position model. Lineage: Bacteria; Pseudomonadati; Pseudomonadota; Gammaproteobacteria; Enterobacterales; Enterobacteriaceae. The record is from RNAcentral.